UUAGCCACCUAGUCACUUCCUGCCUAACGUUGAAGGCCAGCUCUGCUUUAACCUCUCCUGGGAAGCCUGCAUUGGUGGUCUCAGGAAGAGUCCAUGGCUUCUUCCCUCUCCUAUAUGACUUCUCAAGCUUUUGUUACUGUUUGUCAGCUUGUGUGCUUACACUGGAAGUUUCCUGUAUCUGACACAUGGUUGUGUCCCCAGCAGGGACAGCACAGGUACUUGGAGCAGCCAUGUAGGAUUUGUUGGUUGGUUGGUUGAAUGAAUGAAUGAAUGAAUGAAGAAUGGAUCCAUCCUUGACCCCUCACUUCUUGGCCAGCGUCAGAGCUGUUAUUUUCCAGGGCAAGCCCAUUUUAUAGGAAAAGAGGAAGCAGAAAGGACUGCUCUGGAAUGGAGAAAGCAAAUCAAUAAAAAUGUAAAUCUGGUUGAGAAAAGCUGUCCCAGGUUGGCUGUGGGGAAAGAUAAGACUGGAACGGUGAGCCCUGGUUGACAGUAAAAGAAAUUAGGGGGCAAGCAGAGCUGCAGCCAGGCCAGGGCAAAGGGAGCGUCUCCCUUCAGUGGUACCUCCCCACUCUGUCUUUGCCACUUUCCCUGCCCCCAUGCUCUUAAUACUCCAUCAAUUCUCUCAGGGAUCCUGGACGGAGAAGGAAACUUAGACAUGUUGAUCAGCAAAUGCACUCAUUAUUUGGUCUUCACAACUUUUCGGAAACAGGAGAUAGGAAUGAUCAACCUCACUUUCCAGGUGAAGAAAUGGAGGCAUAGAGAAGUUAAAUCACUUGUUCAGGGUCACACCAUGAGUAAGUGGCAGAAUCAAGAUUUGAGUUUAAAUCUGAACCUAAAACGCUAUUCUUUUCCCUCCAUUGCACUGAGGUCUUGAUCCAGGCUUCAAAGGGUCCCCAGCCUCUGAAGUCAGAUGCACAAUUGUGUUUUUGUGCAUUUUUUUAUGGAGAGUUUAUAUCUUGUAUUGUCCAAGGUGAUGGUCACUCAUUCCCUUGCCUAUACCAUGUUCCCUCCCUGGAGGAGGCCUUUGAGCUGAGUAUAGAAGAAUGGGAUACAGUGGAGUGGGAUGAAGAAAGCCAGCUGGGUAGAGAACACAUGUAGGGGCAGAUUCGGAAGAAUGAAUUCAAUAGGUCUAAAGAAUGCUGGGGUGCUGGGGGUUCUUACUCCUCAUUUAUUUGUGCUGCAAUCAUGGCUCCUGGCUCCCAACUUCCAAGGAGCAUCUGACCGCCCUGCAACUUCCCAGCAUGGGUCCACAGGCCAAAAGAACUCCAGGACAGGCAUCAGGAUAUCCGCUCUGCUUCAGUCCUGUCCUCUGUUGGACUUUAUCACCUGUAGAAUCUUGCAAGAUUUCACACCUUCUCCUGAGCACACAGGUCAAUUGCUGGUGGUUCCUCGUGGACCAGCGGCUAAUAAUAGGGAAGAGGGCUGCACCCUGGGCCCCUCCAUCUCUGGGAACCCCUUCAGCCCUUACCUGCUCCACUCCUGGCUCUCAGCCCACGUCUCUCUUGUGAUGACUCCUGAAGUCUCCUGGCCCUGACCAGCCUGAGAGGUUUUAAGCACAAGGACCUCAUCUUCUUCAAAUCUCUGCUGAAUGUAGAUUCGGCAUCAAGACCCAGCUUGAUGGGGCCUCUGCAUGUGUUCACAUUGUCAUGUUCUUGGGAAAUUUGCAAAGUCAUCACUGCAUUCAGAUAAAUCAUUGCCAGCCACCGCUCUGUACAGAAUGGCUUCUAGGAAUCUUCCUACACACUGUCCAGCUCACUCAGAGUUGUGACAUCAAGAUGUCAUAUCCAGAGGGCAUCUCAUGACAGGAAUGCAUUCCAUGCCGCCUGGCCCUGGAAGCAUAUGGGCAAUGGAGGAGAAACAGGUUGGAAAUGUACAGAAACAGAAGCUAAUCUGUGGGAAAUCCUUCCACUUGUCGGGGGGGAAAUGUAUUUUAGAGGUGUGCACGGCAGUUAGUAAAAAUUACUGUGCUGUUUUUCUGAAUUGUGUGACAUAGUUGUUUUGACUUCUUUUCUAAGUAAAUACUCAUUUCCUUACCUCA
This is a long non-coding RNA of Myotis davidii, 2038 nucleotides long. RefSeq lists it as uncharacterized. The transcript is spliced from 2 exons. NCBI's taxonomy places the organism in Eukaryota, Metazoa, Chordata, Mammalia, Chiroptera, Vespertilionidae. The record is from RefSeq and is a predicted model, not a curated record.